RNA transcript from Tachysurus fulvidraco (yellow catfish), 2482 nucleotides. It is a transcript of the gene named poly(A) binding protein, cytoplasmic 4 (inducible form), with no coding region annotated. Lineage: Eukaryota; Metazoa; Chordata; Actinopteri; Siluriformes; Bagridae. The transcript is spliced from 14 exons. The record is from RefSeq and is a predicted model, not a curated record.
UUCCCCCCGGCCACCAAACCGUGAGUGUCCAACUCACCGUUUUUGUCUCUUUAAAAAAAAAAAAAAGAAAAAAAAAUUUAAAAAAAUUUAAAAAAUAACAAAACCGCAAUUAAAAAAAAAACAAAACCAGGAGAAAAUAGAUCAUUUAUUAUAACACUGUUUUUUUGUUUUGUUGUUUUUUUUUUUUAUCAGAACAGACCUCGGUGUUGUAAUAUUUAAUUUAUUUUCAUUUUCGUCGUCUUAAGAUAGUCCAGAUUUCCACGCCGCAGCUGUCAUUUCCACCCGAGACAGAGAAUUAAACGCGUGCCAAAGUUUUAUUCCGGUUAAAUAAAGAAGACGCACUUUGGAUCGGCCCUCGGUUAGUGACACAGAGAUCAUGAACGCGGCGGGGAGCAGCUACCCGAUGGCUUCUCUGUACGUGGGCGAUCUGCACCAGGACAUCACCGAGGCCAUGCUGUAUGAGAAGUUUAGCCCGGCCGGCCCGGUGCUCUCCAUCCGCGUCUGCCGCGACAUGAUUACGCGCCGCUCCCUGGGCUACGCUUAUGUCAACUUCCAGCAGCCGGCGGACGCCGAGAGAGCUCUGGACACGAUGAACUUUGACGUGGUGAAGGGCAAGCCCAUCAGAAUCAUGUGGUCACAGCGAGACCCGUCGCUUCGCAAGUCAGGCGUUGGAAAUGUCUUCAUCAAAAAUCUGGACAAGUCCAUUGACAACAAGGCCCUCUACGACACCUUCUCAGCUUUUGGGAACAUCCUGUCCUGCAAGGUGGUGUGUGAUGAGAACGGAUCCAAAGGCUAUGCGUUUGUACACUUCGAGACGCAGGACGCUGCCGACCGCGCCAUCGAGAAGAUGAAUGGCAUGCUGCUGAACGACCGCAAGGUGUUUGUGGGAAGGUUUAAAUCCAGGAAGGAGAGAGAGGCCGAGCUCGGCGCCAAAGCCAAAGAGUUCACCAACGUCUACAUCAAAAACUUUGGGGAGGACAUGGACGACGAAAGGCUGAAAGAAAUCUUUGAUAAAUACGGUAAAACUCUGAGUGUGAAAGUGAUGACUGAUCCCAUGGGCAAAUCACGAGGAUUCGGCUUCGUCAGCUACGAGAAACACGAAGAUGCUAACAAGGCUGUGGAGGACAUGAACGGCACGGAGCUGAACGGUAAGGCCGUGUUCGUGGGACGCGCUCAGAAGAAGAUGGAGAGACAAGCCGAGCUGAAGAGGAAGUUCGAGCAGCUCAAGCAGGAGAGGAUCAGCAGAUACCAGGGCGUGAACUUGUACAUCAAAAAUCUGGACGACACCAUCGACGACGAAAAACUGCGCAAGGAAUUCUCUCCGUUUGGCUCCAUCACCAGCGCCAAGGUGAUGCUGGAGGAAGGACGCUCUAAAGGUUUUGGUUUUGUGUGCUUCUCGUCUCCUGAGGAGGCCACCAAGGCCGUGACGGAGAUGAACGGACGCAUCGUGGGCUCCAAGCCGCUUUAUGUGGCUUUGGCACAGCGCAAAGAGGAGCGCAAAGCUCACCUCACCAACCAGUACAUGCAGCGCAUCGCUGGGAUGAGAGCCAUGCCUGCUAAUGCCAUCAUUAACCAGUUCCAGCCCACUAGCGGAUACUUCAUGCCCGCCGUGCCACAGGCCCAGAACAGAACCACAUACUACGCCCCCAGUCAACUCACCCAGAUGAGGCCGAACCCACGCUGGCAGCAGCAGGGGGUCCGAGGUCAGGGAGGCUUCCAGGCUGUGCCCAACUCAUUGCGCCAACCUGGCCCCCGUGCCAACAUUCGUCACAUGGCACCCAACGCCAAUGCCCAGGGACCCCGCGCCAUGCCAACAGGUGCCCAUAGAGGGGCUGGAAGCGGUCAGCCCAUGGGGACUCGCCCUGGGCUCGGUGUGACCACACCACGUGCCAUGCCGCCCUACAAAUACGCCACCGCGGUGCGUAACACCCAGCCUCAAGUAGUCCAACCCAUCACCUUACAACAGGCCCAGCCAGCGGUGCACGUACAGGGUCAGGAGCCUCUGACGGCCUCCAUGCUGGCUGCAGCUCCUCCACAGGAACAGAAGCAGAUGUUGGGUGAGCGUCUGUUCCCUUUAAUCCAGGCCAUGCACUCGACUCUGGCGGGGAAGAUCACAGGGAUGCUUCUGGAGAUUGAUAAUUCUGAGCUGCUGCACAUGCUCGAGUCCCACGAGUCUCUGCGCUCCAAGGUGGAGGAGGCCGUCGCUGUGCUUCAGGCUCACCAGGCGAAGAAAGACGCGACACAAAAAGCUGGAGUAGUUGCUGCCACUGCUACAUCAUGACAUGGAAACCUCACGGCCCAAACGGUUCCGUUCUGACAUAAGACUCGACGUACCGCUACAGCGAACUGUGGAGAAGUAGACGCCACACUGGCUGCUGCCUCCUAUCACAACGGGAGACAUACAAAUAUUUCGCUAUAGACGUAUAUAUAUAUAUAUAUAUAUAUAUAUAUAUAUAUAUAUAUAUAUAUAUAUAUAUAUAUA